GGCAGGGUAGCUCAACCGGUUAGAGCGCGGGAUUCAUAACCCCGAGGUUGGGAGUUCAAGUCUCCCCCCCGCCACCA
This 77-nucleotide transfer RNA is filed under the name Aridibacter sp. RNAcentral describes it as "tRNA-Met". It matches the Rfam family "tRNA". From Rfam's summary of the family: Transfer RNA (tRNA) molecules are approximately 80 nucleotides in length. Their secondary structure includes four short double-helical elements and three loops (D, anti-codon, and T loops). RNAcentral also lists the same sequence under 4 other names. The record is from RNAcentral. Lineage: Bacteria; Pseudomonadati; Acidobacteriota; Blastocatellia; Blastocatellales; Blastocatellaceae.